AUGAAACCAAACGCAUUGGUCUUUGUCGUUGUAGCUAGGUGCUUACUCUAUAAUAGAAGCCUCUUAAUGGAUGGAGUAGUUAGCACAUCUUGUUUGAGGCCAAUUAAAAAGAUUGGUAGGGUUCUUUGUCCAUUACAUGGAAUCAUAUCUAUAAGCUAUGGGUCCCAAGUUCUAAAGAUUUCUCUUCUUCCUAAGAUUCAAUCACUAGCAUCAAUAUUAUAUAGUUAUAUAUAUAUUACAGGAAAAUCAGAAGCUUGA
Molecule: non-coding RNA, 258 nt
Organism: Vicia faba (fava bean)
Lineage: Eukaryota; Viridiplantae; Streptophyta; Magnoliopsida; Fabales; Fabaceae
Source: the annotation of a GenBank genome assembly